AUGGCGAGCACCACCGUCGCCGCCAAACAACCAUCUUCGCCCAAUGCAGCAAAGUCGAAUGAUGGUUCCAGCAAAAAACAAAAGUGGUUCCAGCAAAAAACAAAGGAGGUUGCAAAAAAUCAUGGCAGCAACAGAGCAUCAUCUCUCUCAAUUUGUAGCAAAAUCGAAAGAAGGUUCGAGCAAAAAAAAAAGAAGUGGUUCCAGCAAAAAGAAUUGAUGCAGCAAAAUAAAAUCCAUGGUGGCCACCGCCGUUGCCGCUCACCACCACCGUCGCCGGUUGAAGCGAAUCCACCGGCCGGCGAAUCCACUUUCCGUUCCCCAGCACGGCACCUCAUCGGUGCCACAGGCAACGACCUCCCUCCCACUCCUCCCUUGUCGCGCACGGUCGGGGUCUCCUAA
RNAcentral lists this ribosomal RNA (399 nucleotides) under Triticum aestivum (bread wheat). Its description in RNAcentral is "partial small subunit ribosomal RNA". The record is from RNAcentral. Lineage: Eukaryota; Viridiplantae; Streptophyta; Magnoliopsida; Poales; Poaceae.